CUCAAACAUUAGCCUCCAACCUAAGUAUGGGGAUAAGUGUAUUCUGUACCAUCAAGUAGACUGAACACUGUUAAGCAGCAAGAAAUGCAACAACAACAAGAGAUGCUAGGGCAGUUUGGAAUGGAAGAGCACAGAGAUAUAGUAUUAAUCCAUGAGGCACUUCUGGGUGGUUUUCUCCAGUUCAGUGGGUUACGGAGAGGAAGAGUGGAUUGUUCGAUUAUGACUUCUGCCGUGAUGGUCUUCUACACUGUGGAAACUGACAUCUUUCCAAUAACUGAAACCUUUUCCUGAGUACAAACAGGAAUGAGAUGCUUUUCUGCUCACAGAAGAAAACUGCCCUUAUCUGGCUUAUAAAAUUAAAAAAUUAAGGGAAAUAAAUAAAUUCCCUCCAAAGGAGAGCUGGAG
Molecule: long non-coding RNA, 405 nt
Filed under: Monodelphis domestica (gray short-tailed opossum)
Lineage: Eukaryota; Metazoa; Chordata; Mammalia; Didelphimorphia; Didelphidae
Description: lncRNA (ENSMODG00000048691.1)
Source: RNAcentral